GAUUUCUGGCUUGAAACAUUAAGCCGGCCACGGUUUCGUGUGUUAGUGUUUGAUGUUCUGGCCAUCCUUCCAAUUGCUAUUCAUCUUUCUUCAUUGAUGGGUGAGUGGUGUUGGAUCUUUUACUUUGAAAAAAUUAGAGUGUUUCAAGCAGGCUUUAUGCUAUGAAUACAUUAGCAUGGAAUAAUAAUUUAGGACUUUGGCCCUAUUUUGUUGGUUUCUAGAGCUGAAGUAAUGAUUGAUAGGGAUAGUUGGGGGUGCUCGAAUUCAGCGGCCAGAGGUGAAAUUCUUGGAUUCGCUGAAGACGAACUCAUGCGAAAGCAUU
This 322-nucleotide ribosomal RNA is filed under the name uncultured Sandonidae. RNAcentral's name for it is "SSU rRNA". It matches the Rfam family "Eukaryotic small subunit ribosomal RNA", at positions 634 to 955 of the family's 1831-position model. Lineage: Eukaryota; Cercozoa; Glissomonadida; Viridiraptoridae. The record is from RNAcentral.